AAAAAGAAAUGGAAAAGAUGGAAAAUGAAUUAUUUCUUUAUAAAUGGAAAUAUGAAGAACUGAGGCAAACCAAACUGGAAAGCCUGAAACAGCUGGAAAGAAUGCAGUGGGAGAAUACUUCUGAAUGGGGAAAGAGAGAACGACCUGAAGCAGAAAAGCACAGUUUAGAAGAAGAGACUAGAAAACUGAAAUUACAGAGCAAGGAGGUGGAAGAAAGUGAACACAGGAUUUGGGACCAGACGAAGUUCCUUGUAUGUUGCUGGAGAUUCUCCCAAGACAGUGAGUGAAGAUGCAGGAGAUCAUCAAACAGCCCUACCAGCAGCAAGACCAGCAGCAAAGAGGAAGAGCAAACAACUUAUAUUCUUCAUAAAGACUUACAUGAAAAUGUAAUUGAAGAAGUGCAUGUUGGACAUAUAAAGGAACACUGCAUGCAUUAUUUUUAUGUAUUCUUGAUUUUUUUAUAGGAACAAGGGAAACAAUAGUGUCAGUGGGUACAAAUUUAGAAUUUUUGUUGGCCAUUAUCUGUCCUUCCUUUCUAGUUGUCUUAAUGGCUCUCUUCUAAAGUAAAAUGUGGAUUUGAAUUAACAUGUCCUAUAUUUUAUCUUUGGGGAAAAGUACUUUAGAAUGUGCAUGGCAUAGCAGAGAGGUUCACAUUCUGUCCUGGAAAGACAAUGAGUCUGAAGUAGAAGUCAGUGGUUUGCUUCUUGUUUUGCUCUUGCAUUUUGCUUUCAUAUAGCAGUGAGCAAAUACAUCUGUACUUCAGGUCCUCCUGCAAAUUAUUGGAAGCUGAGAUCUAUAUGUUUUUCUGACCCACCCUGAACUUUUGUCUGCUGCUGGAGAUGGAAUUCUAAAGCAGAAAGAUCUGUGUUUUGACUACCUUCAUACUUACUUAACCAUCCUUCGUGUCUAUAAAUGCUGAUCUAAUCCCAGUCAUUACCUCUCAGGAUAGACUAAGGGAUAUACAAUGAGGGAAUAUUGUCUUUUUC
Molecule: long non-coding RNA, 986 nt
Filed under: Manacus vitellinus (golden-collared manakin)
Lineage: Eukaryota; Metazoa; Chordata; Aves; Passeriformes; Pipridae
Description: lncRNA (ENSMVIG00005008801.1)
Source: RNAcentral